Molecule: ribosomal RNA, 253 nt
Filed under: uncultured bacterium
Lineage: Bacteria
Description: partial 16S ribosomal RNA
Rfam family: Bacterial small subunit ribosomal RNA
Source: RNAcentral
UACGGAGGGUGCAAGCGUUGUUCGGAUUUAUUGGGCGUAAAGCGCGUGUAGGCGGUUUCUUAAGUCUGAUGUGAAAGCCCUGGGCUCAACCCAGGAAGUGCAUUGGAUACUGGGAAACUUGAAUACGGGAGAGGGUAGUGGAAUUCCUAGUGUAGGAGUGAAAUCCGUAGAUAUUAGGAGGAACACCGGUGGCGAAGGCGGCUACCUGGACCGAUAUUGACGCUGAGGCGCGAAAGCCAGGGGAGCAAACGGG